RNAcentral lists this ribosomal RNA (497 nucleotides) under uncultured bacterium. Its description in RNAcentral is "partial 16S ribosomal RNA". It matches the Rfam family "Bacterial small subunit ribosomal RNA", at positions 28 to 507 of the family's 1533-position model. The record is from RNAcentral.
GAUGAACGCUGGCGGCGUGCCUAAUACAUGCAAGUCGAGCGAACGGACGAGAAGCUUGCUUCUCUGAUGUUAGCGGCGGACGGGUGAGUAACACGUGGAUAACCUACCUAUAAGACUGGGAUAACUUCGGGAAACCGGAGCUAAUACCGGAUAAUAUUUUGAACCGCAUGGUUCAAAAGUGAAAGACGGUCUUGCUGUCACUUAUAGAUGGAUCCGCGCUGCAUUAGCUAGCUGGCAAGGUAACGGCUUACCAAGGCAACGAUGCAUAGCCGACCUGAGAGGGUGAUCGGCCACACUGGAACUGAGACACGGUCCAGACUCCUACGGGAGGCAGCAGUAGGGAAUCUUCCGCAAUGGGCGAAAGCCUGACGGAGCAACGCCGCGUGAGUGAUGAAGGUCUUCGGAUCGUAAAACUCUGUUAUUAGGGAAGAACAUAUGUGUAAGUAACUGUGCACAUCUUGACGGUACCUAAUCAGAAAGCCACGGCUAACUACGUG